AUUUUACUCAGUAAAUAUGACCAGUGCGUGGUUACUCCUCAGCAAAGCUCACGGGCUUAACAGAGAAAAUCUUUGAGCUAUUCAGAUGCAUCACAUGUCAGCUCAAAGGACUCUUCAGAUCUGAAUGCUGGGAGAACAAAGGAAGAUGAUUGGUGCUUCAGGUCUUUGGAAGGAAAGCAAAAUAUCAGAGGGAAAUUCUUUACAGAAAAGAAGACUUCAGGUGCCCCAACAGAAUUUGUAAGUUAAAGCUUGUUCACAAUGCAGCCAGAUGCCUCCGUCAGGCAAGUCAGAGCAUGGAAGUUGGAAGCCUGUUUUACCCGAUGUACUUUCCAAGAAGAUUUUCUCAACGUCUCAUCUUGCUGGCUAUUUAUAUAGAUGCUUUCUGGAUGCUUGCUAAGUCUCAGGUUUCCCUUGUCCUAAGGCAGAAGCCUGAUUUUUCACUCUGUUGCAGGAUGGAGGAUAAACUCUACCCAAGUUCCAAAGCAGAUACUUGGUCUGACCUUUGCUUUCAUGUCUCUGCUGUCUCACAGGUGACUUCUACUGUCUCAGGACAUCUUCUUAAUCAUAGUUAUUGUACUAGCCAAGAUCCAUCAAUGUGCUGCAUGGAUUCAGGGUUGGAGAGGCAUUCUCUGGUGGAGGAGGAAAACGUGUACCCUGGCAGCAUGGACACUAAACAGCAUGAGCUGAGGAAGACUGCAACUACAUGGCUCAUUAUUUUGCUGCUGAAGAAGGUGGAUGGCUGGGCACACGGCUCUCAGCUCCCUGCAGGUCACAGCCACUUGGUGGCUUGGUACCAGAGGUGGCCCCAAGGUGUGCCUCCAUCCCUGGAGAAAUGUUCCACUGAAACCUUUCAGCACCAAGCUCUGCAUGAAACAUUUCUUCACCGUGAUGGUGGUCAAACACUGGAAUUGGCUUCCUAGAGGAGUCUGAUGCCCCACACCUGCCAGUCAGUGUUCAAGAGGCAUUUGAACAAUGCCUUAAUAACAUGCUUUUAAUUUCAGUUAACCCUGAAAUGAUCAGGCAAUUGGACUUGAUAAUAUUUGUAGGUCCCUUUCCACUGAACUAUUCUAUUCCAUUCUACUCGGAAAACUUUGUUGUUCACAAACCCUCAGUUAAAUAUGUGUGGAAUUUUCAAAGAUGCAUAAACCUUUUGCAAGCUUUGAUUAAAAGUUAAAUUGAUGACUGGUAACUUGCAAAAAACAUCACUAACCAUAUGUAAAUAUACAGAGUUCCUG
Molecule: long non-coding RNA, 1235 nt
Filed under: Numida meleagris (helmeted guineafowl)
Lineage: Eukaryota; Metazoa; Chordata; Aves; Galliformes; Numididae
Description: lncRNA (ENSNMEG00000016826.1)
Source: RNAcentral